RNAcentral lists this long non-coding RNA (1793 nucleotides) under Sus scrofa (pig). RNAcentral describes it as "lncRNA (ENSSSCG00000049461.1)". The record is from RNAcentral. Lineage: Eukaryota; Metazoa; Chordata; Mammalia; Artiodactyla; Suidae.
GGGCCACUCCCACAGCGUAUGGAGGUUCCCAGGCUAGGGGUCCAAUUGGAACUGUAGCUGCCAGCCUACACCAGAGACAUAGCAACUCAGGAUCCAAGCCGCGUCUACAACCUACACCACAGCUCAGAGCAACGCAGAUCCUUAACCCACUGAGCAAGGCCAGGGAUCAACCCGUAACCUCAUGGUUCCUAGCAGGCAGGCAGUCCAUUCUCUUGCUCAAUCCUGUACCUGCAGCACCUAAAAUAGAACCUGGCAUAGAGCAGGCACUCAAUAUAUGUUCCUUAUACAAAUGAAAGAAUGAAUGAAGAGGGACCCUCUCCUCGGGGAGGAGUAAGUCAGCCUGGGUGGGAGGGCUCCCUGACUAGGAGAACAUGCAGGAGUCAGAGAAGGAGGCAAGGCCUCUGAGGGAGACUGUGUCCAUGGCAACACAGGCAGCGCCACGGCUGCUCUUGGGGCAAGGCCAGAGGAGGCAGGCAAGUGAUGGAGUCUGGGGGGACCCCAGGGGAAGGCUGGCAUCCAACUCAGACUCUGGGACUCCUUCCCCUGCCACCUCAUGGCUCUGGCUUUGGCAGACCCAGCAGAUGGGCUCUCAGCAGGGACCUGCAUCUCAGCGGGCACAGGCUCUGCUCAAGCAGGACAACCGCCCAGGCUUCUGCUCUCCAGCCAACACAGGCGCCCAGAACCAUGAAAUCCUGGAUAGUAAAGCUCCAAGGAACCCCACCAGGCAGAAGGCAGCCCUGCAGCCUGGCUGUAGGUGGGGGCGCAGAAAUCAUGCCACCUAGAGCAGCAACAAGAACAGUAAAAUCAGACUAGCCAGCUGGCCUCUCACGGGUGACAUGAGCAUUGCUUAGCUUACCCCACCUUAUCCUCACAGCAAACUUCUAAGGAAGGGGCUAUUUAUCCUUAUUUUAAAAUGGGACCUGCAGGCCAGAGAGAGGAAGGGACUUGUCCAAAGUCGAAAGGUCCAGGAAGUGCUGGAAGUGGAAUUCAGGGCCCCUUCGCCUCCUGUUCCUCUUUUGUGCUCAGGACAUGAAUCCCCAUGGGGUAAUCUAAUCAGACACGGGGCUCCACCUUCACCCUCUCCUUAGGCUUCUUAUCAGAGAAACCAUUUUUUCCCCAAGCCACGUGUUCCACUUCAUGUCUUGUCCUUUGUGUGUCUUUGAUUCUGCGCCAUUUUGGAAUCAUGUUUUGGUUGCUAUUUCGGUCAUGAAUACACAUCAUUAAUUCUUCUGACAAACAUCCCCAGAGCCCCAGCUCUGUGCCAGGUGGGCAGCGAUGAAUAAUAACAACUCGAAUGUUCGCUGCGAAGUGUUUCCACCGUGCCAGGCUCUGUUCUAUGUGCUCUGCACGUAUUGACCCUUUCAGUUCUCACAACCACCCUCUGGGGUAGGAAAUACUCGUCGUUCCCAUUUUUCAGCUGAGGAGACUGAGACACAUCGGGCUGGUGAGGGGCCCCGCUGGGACAGAAAUCAAACCCAGGUGGCUCCUGAACGCUUCACUAUUGGUCUACACCACGCGAUAAGGGUGGGGAGGGGGGAGCGCAGAGAAGUGAGUAACACACUUAGCUGAGUACCCACAUCAAGGACGCGAAGGGUUUCACCGGGCAGAAAAGACAAGGACAUUCGAGACAAGGACAAAAGUCCAGAGGAAAACGCAGAGCCUUAAAGUACCGAGGAGAUGCAUACACACGAUGGUUUCUAAGCUCCUUGGAAGUAAGAAAAGUCCUGUUUACCUUUGUGUUUAUCCGCUUCGAAAUACAUGUCCGUUGAAUUGUAAACAUUUCAACAUUUCCC